CAUGUCCUUUAGUAGUAUAAUUUAAGGUCUAAUCUGCUCACUGAAUUUUUAAAUAGCCGCAGUAUAUUAACUGUGCAAAGGUAGCAUAAUAAUUAGUUUCUUGAUUAGGAACUAGAAUGAAUGAUUGGACGAGAAAAUUACUGUUUCUAAUUAAUUUUUUAUUGAAUUUUAUUUUUAAGUUAAAAAGCUUAAAUUCUUAUGAAAGACGAGAAGACCCUAUAGAGUUUUAUAUUUAAUAUUUAAUAAAUAUAAGAAUUUUAUUUAAAUUUUAAGUAUUUGGUUGGGGUGAUUAAAAGAUGAGAAUAAUUCUUUUAUUAUUUAGUUAAUGAUUUUUAAUUUAUUAAGGUAUUUUUAUAGAUUUAAAUUAAAUUACCUUAGGGAUAACAGCGUAAUUUUUUUUAAAAGUUCUUAUUGAAAAGAAAUUUUGCGACCUCGAUGUUGGAUUAAAAUUUAUUUUAGGUGAAGUAGCUUAAAUAUUAGGUCUGUUCGACCUUUGAAAUUUUACAUGAUCUGAGUUUAGACCGGCGUGAGCCAGGUUAGAUUCUAUCUUUAGAAAAUUUUUGUUGUUUUAGUACGAAAGGACCAAAUAAUAAUUAUAUAUUA
Molecule: ribosomal RNA, 603 nt
Filed under: Scarelus loksadoensis
Lineage: Eukaryota; Metazoa; Arthropoda; Insecta; Coleoptera; Lycidae
Description: partial 16S ribosomal RNA
Rfam family: Bacterial large subunit ribosomal RNA (bases 380-538)
Source: RNAcentral